This 253-nucleotide ribosomal RNA is filed under the name uncultured bacterium. RNAcentral describes it as "partial 16S ribosomal RNA". It matches the Rfam family "Bacterial small subunit ribosomal RNA", at positions 524 to 776 of the family's 1533-position model. The record is from RNAcentral.
UACGUAGGGUGCGAGCGUUAAUCGGAAUUACUGGGCGUAAAGCGUGCGCAGGCGGUUUUGUAAGCCAGAUGUGAAAUCCCCGGGCUUAACCUGGGAAUGGCAUUUGGGACUGCAAGGCUGGAGUUUGGCAGAGGAGACUGGAAUUCCCGGUGUAGCAGUGAAAUGCGUAGAUAUCGGGAGGAAUACCGAUGGCGAAGGCAGUCCCCUGGGCCUGUACUGACGCUCAUGCACGAAAGCGUGGGGAGCAAACAGG